UACAGAGACUGCAAGCGUUAUUCGGAUUCACUGGGCGUAAAGGGUGCGCAGGCGGCUAAGUGUGUUAGGCGUGAAAGCCCGGGGCUUAACCCCGGAAUUGCACCUAAAACUACUUGGCUAGAGCAUUGGAGAGGGUAGCGGAAUUCACGGUGUAGCAGUGAAAUGCGUAGAUAUCGUGAGGAACACCAGAGGCGAAGGCGGCUACCUGGACAAUUGCUGACGCUCAGGCACGAAAGCGUGGGGAGCAAAAGGG
This 253-nucleotide ribosomal RNA is filed under the name uncultured bacterium. RNAcentral's name for it is "partial 16S ribosomal RNA". It matches the Rfam family "Bacterial small subunit ribosomal RNA", at positions 524 to 776 of the family's 1533-position model. The record is from RNAcentral.